Long non-coding RNA from Ictalurus punctatus (channel catfish), 6990 nucleotides. The record is from Ensembl. NCBI's taxonomy places the organism in Eukaryota, Metazoa, Chordata, Actinopteri, Siluriformes, Ictaluridae.
GAUAUAUCUUUGGAAAGCUAGGAUUGUUCUGAUCGGAUUUGAUGUAAAUCGUUUCAAGAUACAAUCACAACAGCAGCUACGAUCAACGUCUCCGUCAGACCACCGACAUACAAACAAACACUUACAACACGGAAGCGACUUCGCGAACUUUAGCUAGUGCAUUAGCAGACGUCUACAACUGAGCCACAACACAGAACUCCACAUUUGAACAGUCAAUAGCAGAUGCUUCAUAAAAUAAUCAGAUAUGCGUACAUUCAGACACGCAAGAUUGUCAUUGAGCAGAGUGGGGAUUGGGCAUUUUUCAGGAGUAGCCUCCGUGUAGCUUGCGUUGUACUCGCCCAGGUUCAGGGAGGCGUCUACAUAAAAUACGCUGUGCACAAGUAUGCGUUCGGGUUGUACGGCUCAGGAACAGCGUUAUAAAUAAGCAGAAACCUCUGAUUCCUGAAUUCGUCCGUUUUCGGAAGGCUAAACACACAGCGUCUCCACGACACGGCGUCCGAAUCUACUGAAGCCCCGCCUUCUUUCUUCAUGGCUGCCUUUGAGGAGGAUUAUGCUGAUGUUUCACGUAGUGACGUAGACGUUUGCGGAAGUAAUACCUGAACUUCGACUGUGGUGUUUUGGGCAGGUUUGGAGCGGUGUUCUCUGUUAAAUCCCUUCUGGGGAGAUUAUGAGCUUUGUGACCUUGCAGAUGUUCUGCAUUGGACACCCGGACAAAAGGAAAACAUUCAAAAUCAUCAUAUGACUCCUUUAAUGGCUGUGUAUUACUUGAUUAUAAAUAGUUUAUGAACAAACUGUAUAUUAAAACGUCGCUUUUAUGUCACUUUUAAAUGUCCUGGGCAUUUUCUACAUUUAUUUUUUUAAAAUCCAAACUGUUUAGUGAGUUUGAGGCAGUCGGUGAGGGACAGGACAGGACAGGACAGAACAGAGCGGAACGGCGUGAUGCUAAUCCGGUAUGAUGCUAAUCCGGUAUGAAUGAGAGUGGCGUGAGGGGAUUAAAGAUUUUGCGUCGCGUGUAGACGACGUAUCGAUAAUCCGCUGAUUUUGGAUUGCGAUUGGACGGAGUAAUCCCCGGCCUGUGGGAGAUUUCUGAUUCUGAUUGAUGUGUAUUUAAAACGCUACGCUCUGAAAAUAAACACACACGCACAUUACAGAUCAGCACAGGGAAGUCCAGGGAGCCCAUUGUGUCCGCGGUUUUUCUUCAGAUUCAGAAUCGACUCGGAUUCCGGUUCAGUGAAUCAGGAAAUCGAAGUUCGUGCGUCACGUCGCUCGUGCUGUAGAUCCGUAACGCCGGUUCUGAAAAGGCUUCUGUUCGGAUUUUUAAAAAAAAGCGUCACGUGGAUCUUUUCAGUCGCGGCAGCUCCAUUUAGAAUCGCUUUUCCAGAACCGGAUUAAUCUUAAGCUCACGAUAAGAUGCUUUCACACUCACGAAUCAUCGUCGCUGUUGAAUUUUAACAAGACGACGGAGGCUAAUCCGCGUCGGAGCCUCGAACGCCCUGCGUGGGAUUCUCGGAAACGUCUGGGAACGCUGCGGAGAUGGAACACGCGCUGGAACUUGCUUCACAUAUCUUCCAUGACGUUAUUUGUAACUAUAAAUGGAUAAAAAGUCUGUCAAUCUUUACAAAAUUUGUACAGUGAAUAUAAGAGGAAUAAAAGAUGCAGCGGUGGACAAAGCGGGAAGAAAUCGCCAGGGACGUGUUUAAACAGUCUCUCACACACACACACACACACACACACUGGCCUUGAGUAUUCAUGACAUUUCAUUUAGUAGUUAGCUGUUCAUUUCUGCAACACCUCACUGCAUCACAUCGUGACCUCGACGUGUCCGAGCGUCCUUCAGCUGAUAAUCUUCAAUCUUCGCUCCGUAACACUGUUCUAGAGGAACGUGUGAGAUUACAGCGCUGAGUCCUGCAAGCGUCAUAUUCCGAACACACUCUGGAAAUAAGAACAGGAAAAUCUACAAAGCAGUAGUGUUUACGGAUCGCGAUCGGCCACGUUCAAAUAUAUAUAAAUAUGGUUGGAAACAAAUAAUAAUAAAUAAAAAGCUAAAAGAUAUGAACUGUGCUAUAGCAACAACCAAAGAAAACAGAUUCUACAGCUAUAAUAAUCAUAACACGCUCGCUUUCAAUGUAUGACAAAAUAUUAACAAUGAAAUUUGACAUAAAUACAUAAACUAGUGCUAGAAAAUAAACUAUUAUAGAUAUUUAUACACAAUAAGAAAUAUUUGCUGUAAUCUGGCCUUAAUCCAGGACCUGGACGUCCUCAUGAGAUUAUUAUUAUUAUAGGAGGUGAAUGAAGGGUUAUAAACCUGCAGCCUCAGUUUUCAGUGCUUUUAAAUGAGCUUCCUGGUUUAUAAUCUCGCCACAGACUGGUUAUAAAGCUUCAAAACAGGUGUUACAGGUGCAGUAAACAUCCGUCACGUCCGGCAGCACGACUAUCGGACUCCUCCGUGGGAUCCUUUUUAAACCAUCUCCGUGACGUGAAAUGCUCAUUGAUGCUUAUAGAAUGUUACUCGGCGCUUCCGAAUGCGCUAUAAAGUCCAUUUGUAGUGCAGUCUACGUGACUAUUCGAUAAUAUCCCUCACGCUAAGGUGGCUCGAUAUGUUCUUGUUGUAUGUGAACGCUUUGAUCAGCACUUAUGCGUGCGUUAGGAAGUCCUCACGAAGGCUCAUUCAUCAUUGAACCCGAACGUGAGAGCAGGAUCGUAUACAGACGCGAAACCGAAUAUCGGUGCUUCAGCACCAAUAAAAAGAACAACAACAACAAAAGUACAGAAGCACAAUACUGAAUACAAAUGAAGCAAGGCGAAGACACGCGCACACGUACACACGUAGCAGAAAAAAAAACACGUUAACACAAAUGAUAGAGGAUGAGGUCUGGCUGAUGGACAAAUGAGCGAGUGAGGAUAAAAUCUGCCUCUGAUGAGAGAGAGAGAGAGAGAAAUUAGAGAGAAAGUGCUGUGAUUGCCAGCCAUCUGGAUUCCCUGAAGAGAAAAAUAUCUAAAAUAUGCACGGAGACAGAAAUCACACAUACACACUGUCUCAUUUACAACAGUGCAUUGAAAUACACACACACACAACCAGCAGCAUUGCACAUGUCAGAGAUCAUGGACGGUUAAAGUAAAGUGUGUACACAGUUUAACACAUUAGCAUGAAGCACAUGAAAGCAUAUAGCUAUUCACACACUCAUUUACAUCUUUGGGGAAUUUGGCACAAUCAGUCCACCUCCUGCUAUGUUUUUAGGAGGUGGGAGGAAACCGGAGACCCAGGAGGAAUCUCCGGUCCUAACUCUGCUUCAACGAAUUCUGAUGCAACGCAUUACUGCGAAAAAAAAAAAAAAUGAAGGUCAAAUUCGGAGCGAUAUUUCAUCAAACCCCUCUGGACAAAUUGCGGAUCAAAGUAUGAAGGCUUUCUGAAAGUCUAUGCUACACGUCGGCGAAGAAGGCCAAUUCACACCGGACUCGUCUCGUCCGGACCUUGUCCGAUUACAUUUUAACAAGACUUUCGAUCCACAAUCAUUAGAGACGAGUCAAACUCGAGCUCCUGUGCCAUGCUGGCCUUGUUUUACGCCUUUCCCCCCAGAGACGUAGCUAGAAAAGAGGCAAGGCAAGCGUGGGGCUUUCGAAUUGUGAUAGACCUCCAGAAAGCAAAAUCCAUGAAAAUGUCAAAUCUCAAAGUGUAGAACUCUUCCAGAACCCCCCAUGGGUAAUGUACAAUGCUAACCCUAGGAAGCGCUCUAAAGCUAGCACGUGGGACACAAGUUGACUUUGAAUCGUCACACUUUUCAUACGAGAGCGUACUUGUGCGGAAGAAGAGGCCGCUGCGGUUUGUACUGGAGGCUGUAUCGGGGCUAUCAGCUUGAUCUAUACGAACAGCCAACUUGCUCUAGCUCUAAAUCAAAUUUGUAGAAUGUAACAUUAAUGCUUUCAAACAGCUAUCCUCAUUGUAUUAAGGAUUUUGUGGAUUUAUUUAUUUAUUUAUUUUUUUUGAAGCUUUAUAGAGAUGUCUGGGGAACGCCGUUCACGACAACGACGAGGAAAAAAUGACCAGGAGUGUCACGUUUCAAGGUCGAUGCGGAAGCAAUCGCAGAUUUUCAAACAGUUUACUAAACAAAGACACUAAUACAACUUGGCAUAAUACUGUAGCGUAAGCUAACGAGAUCAAAACACGUUAACAUGGAACGCGGUAGUCUAAGACAAACGUAAGACAGAGAAGCAGUGCUAACAGUGGAUAUAUAUAAGCGUGCUCGUUAACAGAAACGCGAUUCGGGUGCAGGCGGUCAUGUGACAUGUUGUAGUACAGUGCAGUGGCUGAUGGGAACUGAAGUCCAGAGUUACCUCCUUGAUAUAUGACAAAGAGGGCCUCUUGCAUUUCUCUUGAAUCACCUCUUGGUUCAAUUGUUUUAUUUAUUUAUUUAAAAAUAAAAUAAAAUUAGUGUGCGAAUGAGUGACGCUUAAACUGUGCACUUUAUUUCAAAUCCUAAUCUACAAAUAUGUCAUGAUGAUGUUUGUAUACCGGCAGGAAUGAACUUGUAGAACCGUAAAUGUAACUAAAAAACGGAUAGAAAGUGUUGUAACACAUUUAAAACUGCAAUUGUUUGCAAAUCACUGUCAUAAAUGAGGAGUAAAAACGUCAGGAUGUGCUGAUUACAGAAAAAGUAUCAACAUUGCGUCAGUCCAUAAUCACACCUCCCCGACGUGGAUUACUUUCCUAUAACGGUAUGCCCCCAACAUGCUUUACUCCUUACUUACAAAGCUAAUACUGCUCUCAAAACAUAAAAAUGAAAUCUCCUGAACUGAAAAUGUAAAUUCACCACCUCUUAACCGUCAAUCGAAGACUGGAAUUGUGCAAUCAGAUUGUUUGUGGUGAAAGAUGCACACUCGGCCUCUUCAUCACAUGACGUUUAAGAUAAUCUCCAAGAGAGCUGAAUUUGAGUGUGUGGCCUGUUGUGGUAGUCGCACCGUGUCUGUCAGGAUCGUCGAGAAGAUCGAUGGGAAGAUAUCACUCAUGCUCCGAGCACAUUAGUACACGAGUGUGUCCUAGCGGCUCGACGUGUACAGUACUGUUUACACAUUCCCUCGCUUACAGUCUACAUUCGAUCAAAUUUAGCAAAUGAAUAUUAAUGCACAUUUCAUAGGGAAUAGUGAUAAAAUUACACCUAUAAUCCAUGCAUGACUCUUUAUCAUCCAUCAAUUACUAAUUAACAUUCGGCGGGUCCUAAAGUCAAACAGCAAAUUUUUUCCCCAGCAAUUUGAUAUUUUGCAUGUAAACGUAUGGGAAGGCAGACGCUUCCAAAAGUUAUAUGCCGAACAAGUAAUAGUAAAAAAUAAUUCUUGUUAAUGAAUGAAUAUGUAAUGAUUAAAAUACUUUAGAGUGUGGUGUUAUAGGAAAAGAUUCCAUGAUGGGUGGUAUAAUGAAGCGGAGUUGAUUAGCACCACGUCCCACAGUGUUUUAUAAUGGUCAUAUGAUAGUGAUUUGCCAACAGUUCAAUUUUUAAAAAUGUAUGAAAGCAGGGUACGUCUUAUCUGUAUAUAGAAAUAUUCUGUCUAGUUCAUGCUUUUGUUUUCUCUAGGUUGGAUUUUUGUCAUGCUUUUGCUCUCUGGUUGUUCCAGUAGCUACAUUAACAAGCUCCAGUUAGUCCAGUAUGCAGCAGCCAGAGUCCUUACUAGAACCAGAUUUGAUCACAACACCACUGCAUUAUAAAAUACUACUAAUGACAGUACUGUACUAAGUACUGAAUGGUCGCGCCAUUAUGUUCUAUUAUGUACUAUUAUGUUCCGCCAUGCCUGCUUUGAUUAAAAAGUGCAGGCUCUUUGUUGGUACCUAGAAUAAUGAAGUCUACAGCAGGGAGGCAGAACUUUCUCCUUACAAAGCCCCACAGUUAUGAAACAGACUUCUAAUUAGGGUCUAAUCUAGGCUGAAAACCUAUAUGUUUAGUAGGGCCUUUUUUUAAUGUAAAGGCACAGAUUGGAAGGGUUAAUAAUGAGUCUUUAUUGAUCACAUAUACAUUAGAGCACAGUGAAAUUCUUUUCUUCACAUACCCCAGAAUGUUUGGAAGUUGGGGUCGGAGCGCAGGGUCAGCCAUGAUAUAGCGCCCCUGGGGCAGAGACGGUUAAGGGCCUUGCUCAAGGGCCCAACAGUGGCAGCUUGGCAGUGUUAGGGCUUGAACCCCCGACCUUCUGAUCAGUAACCCAGAGCCUUAACCGUCAAGUCACCACUGCCCCAUACUGUCCAUGGGUAUAUAGUGUUUUGGUAGAGAGGGAUUAGUAAUGCUGUCGACCCCCCCAUCCCCCACCGCCACUCAGCACUCACUCAGGUUUGUUGAUGUUGGAGUGUCCUAUCCUCAUGUCCCAGGGCGCCUUCAUAUCUGUGUUAGCUUCUGGCUCUCUCUUUUAGUUAUGCUUGGGUCCAUGCUUGCACUCUGCACACAGUGUACAUCUUCUUAAACCAUUAUGUUACAAGAACAUACCUAAUAAUCCCCCUUCCCUGAGAAUUACAGGAUGCUGCUGAGGAUGGCCCCACAUGGCAAGCCUGAUGAUUGCUGCAAAUGGUACCACACGGAAACCCUGACGACGGCUGUGGAUGGUCUCACUUGCCUAAAGUUACAUUUGACGUUGUGGAAUGUCCAUGAAGCAGUUUGGAUCCUGUUACCAAAAUGAGACGAGAUGUGAUUGGUUUGCUGACAUAUCCGUCAAAUAACCCACUUGGUAAGACUUUAAUUGUUAAUUCAUUCCAAUAUAUUUACAUUCAUUGUAACAGCCAUACAUAGUAUGUAAAAUAUAAAAUGGUUUGAAAAAUCUUUUUUAAUAGGCUGUAUUAAUAGUAAAUAUUUUGGGAACAAAAACAACAACAAAACUAUUUACUGCUUGUUACAUAUAAUAUAUUAGACAUCAUUUUACGUAAACUUUAACUCAAGCUUAUGACCCAAAUAUUCAGGUUUCCUUUUUACUACAUUUGAAUUGUAUGAAUAUGAAAUCAAUGAGAACCCAAUUACA